GGACUACCAGGGUAUCUAAUCCUGUUUGAUCCCCACGCUUUCGUGCCUCAGCGUCAAUCAUACUUUAGUAAGCUGCCUUCGCAAUUGGUGUUCUGUGACAUAUCUAUGCAUUUCACCGCUACUUGUCACAUUCCGCCUACCUCAAGUAUAUUCAAGCUCUUCAGUAUCAAAGGCACUGCGAUAGUUAAGCUACCGUCUUUCACCCCUGACUUAAAAAGCCGCCUACGCACCCUUUAAACCCAAUAAAUCCGGAUAACGCUCGGAUCCUCCGUAUUACCGCGGCGGCUGGCAC
RNAcentral lists this ribosomal RNA (292 nucleotides) under uncultured bacterium. RNAcentral describes it as "partial 16S ribosomal RNA". RNAcentral also lists the same sequence under 1 other name. The record is from RNAcentral.